CCUACGGGAGGCAGCAGUGAGGAAUAUUGGUCAAUGGACGAGAGUCUGAACCAGCCAAGUAGCGUGAAGGAUGACUGCCCUAUGGGUUGUAAACUUCUUUUAUAUGGGAAUAAAAUGUUCCACGUGUGGGAUUUUGUAUGUACCAUAUGAAUAAGGAUCGGCUAACUCCGUGCCAGCAGCCGCGGUAAUACGGAGGAUCCGAGCGUUAUCCGGAUUUAUUGGGUUUAAAGGGAGCGUAGGUGGAUUGUUAAGUCAGUUGUGAAAGUUUGCGGCUCAACCGUAAAAUUGCAGUUGAAUCUGGCAGUCUUGAGUACAGUAGAGGUGGGCGGAAUUCGUGGUGUAGCGGUGAAAUGCUUAGAUAUCACGAAGAACUCCGAUUGCGAAGGCAGUUCACUGGACUGCAACUGACACUGAGGCUCGAAAGUGUGGGUAUCAAACAGGAUUAGAUACCCCAGUAGUC
RNAcentral lists this ribosomal RNA (460 nucleotides) under uncultured bacterium. RNAcentral describes it as "partial 16S ribosomal RNA". It matches the Rfam family "Bacterial small subunit ribosomal RNA", at positions 338 to 795 of the family's 1533-position model. The record is from RNAcentral.